AAAAGACGAACAGCUCAGUAACUCUUAUUUUAUUUGAUGUAUUAGGAUUAUAACUAUGUUAAAUUAUAGAUAACAAUAAUACAAUAAGAAUAAGAUCUAUCAGUUAGUUGUUAAGGUAAUGGCUUAACAAGACUAUGACGGAUAACGGUAUUACUUUGUAAUAUUCCGGAGAAGGAGCCUGAGAGAUUGCUACUAAGUCUAAGGAUUGCAGCAGGGGCGAAACUUGACCUAUGAUAUGAUAUUGAGGCAGUUAUGAGUAGUAUUUUUAAUUAUUGUAGUAUUGUAAGUAUAUACUACAAGAUAAAUCGGAGGGCAAAUCGAGUGCCAGCAGCCGCGGUAAUACUUGUUCCGAUAGUGUGUAUGAUGAUUGAUGCAGUUAAAAAGUCUGUAGUUUAUUAUUAAUAAGCAUUGUGAGGUAUAUUGUAUGGUUAGGAGAGAGAUGAAAUGUGAUAACCCUAACUGGAUGAACAGAAGCGAAAGCUAUAUACUUAAAUGUUUUAUUAGAACAAGGACGUAAGCUAGAGGAUCGAAGAUGAUUAGAUACCAUUGUAGUUCUAGCAGUAAACUAUGUUAAAUCAUAGAUACAUUAUUAAUAUGUAUUUAUGUAAAGAAAUUAAGAUUAUAUUGACUCUGGGGAUAGUAUGAUCGCAAGAUUGAAAAUUAAAGAAAUUGACGGAAGAAUACCACAAGGAGUGGAUUG
Molecule: ribosomal RNA, 700 nt
Filed under: Nosema granulosis
Lineage: Eukaryota; Fungi; Microsporidia; Nosematidae
Description: partial small subunit ribosomal RNA
Rfam family: Microsporidia small subunit ribosomal RNA
Source: RNAcentral